Molecule: long non-coding RNA, 1953 nt
Organism: Phacochoerus africanus (Common warthog)
Lineage: Eukaryota; Metazoa; Chordata; Mammalia; Artiodactyla; Suidae
Exons: 7
Source: RefSeq, a predicted model, not a curated record
AAAAGCUUUGAACCCACUGAGGGAGACGAGGAAACAGAGUCACGGCACCCUAGAGAAUGAGGGGCACCCAAUGCCAAAGCGCCAACAUACUGAGAAGAUGGGGAGAGCUUAAGAUUUGGUAAUAGUGGAUUGAUGGCCCAGAAUAAUGAACCGCUGAAGAAUAGGUUGAGGCACUUAGCCAGGGCAUGUUCUGCCGUCAGCCAUUUGUGGAGAAUGGACUGUUGAUUCUUUCACUUCAUUUAACCACCCCUACUGUUUAUAAAAGAAGAGAACCAGAACUCUGGGAGGCCAUUGCCUUGGCACAUGGAAUCCAAGGCUUAGCAAAAUCAAGGUGGCUAUCACUGGACAGCAUUUGAACUCCAAUAGCGUGCUGCUAGCCCCUGGCAGCCACCAUUCUACUGUCUGUCUCUAUGAAUUUGACUACUCUAGGUACCUCAUGAUCCAAGCCAGGACACCACAUUACAUUGUUCUCAGGGCUCCUUUGGUUCCUGUUGACUAUGACCAUUUCUUAGAAUUGCUUUGUUUUGAUGACCUUGACAAUAUUGAGGAGUACUGCUCAGGAAUAAUUUCGAUGUGACCCAGUGCAUCUUCUUUAGGAUCAUCACCAGGAAGCUGUGAGUGAUGUCACUGCCCUGAAUUGGUGAAGCACUGGGGUGUUUUUAUGCAGUUUAUGGUGGUGCUGCCUUCGUCCAUGCCUGUAAUUGGAAUCCUCAUGCUGUAGCUGCUCUGAGAAAAGAAAAAUCUAGAGAUAAAUGGAGUAGCAGAUCGGUGCCAAAUAUACUUUGAGGAUAACGGGAAGGUGAGUACAGGGGAAAUACAUCUUUUGACAACUCAGAGUCACUUUCCACACAUACUACUAGGCAGUGACUUUCAGAAAAUAAUCCUUUUCUCCCGAAACAAAAUAAGACCAACUGUACUGCUUGCCUUUAUCAUUUCACUAUAUAAGUACUGGUCUUACGUUGAAUGAGUUCACUCAGAAAAUUUGAGUGGUACAUGUAGAAAGUUAAUUGGCGGUAAUUGGGUAGAGGAGGGGAAUAGGUAAGCAGCCAAGGUCCGGAAUUAGUACAUAAAUAUAAUAAAGUGAGUGAAAUAAAACUAUAGGACUUUAGAGUUUAAUGCUAUUUAAAGAUGUGGAUUGCCUGCUUUAAAAGAAAUUGGAGAGGAAAAUGAUGGGAAAGAUGUUAAGUUGGAGUGAAAACUCACAAAAAAUGAGUCAUCCUCAUUUCCCACAGAGUAAAGUGGAAAAGAAUUUGUUUCUUUGUUUUUUUUUUUUUAAAUUUUUUCAAAAUAUACAACUGGAAAAGGAAAUUGGGGAAAUCUAUGGAGUCAUUUUCUCUCUUGGUGUGCUAUGGCUAUGUCCCAUUUGAUAGUACUGCUGUUAUUCCUCAUUUCAUUUUCUUUACAACUCUUGUAGCUGAAACUGUUGCACAUCUCUGACAGGUAAUUCUCAGGCUGGUCCUUAACUCUGAAGAAGGCUGGUUCAUUACCUGCCAAAUGUUAUAUCAGGACACUGGAGGCGUUUUGCAUUUAGACUAAAAUGUGAAAUCUUUCCUGGGGAAGAAUUUAGCUUCCUGGAAACAGGGACAUAGAGGAGAAGCAGAACUGUCAUUCUCCUCAGCAGAUUAUCAGUGACGAGUAGAAAUAUAAAUCUACUGGAAUUUCUGUGAGGGAAAUGCUGGCAGUAGCCACCAAACCAGAGUGGCAAAGUUGGGCUCAAUCUUUAGAAACUCACAUUGCCAUUCUCUACCAAUAAGUGCACAGUAAACCGUGGAAGACACAGAUCUUGCAUAUUCAGCCAGUAAAAUCCUAUGCUGCCCAUGUGAUUCACAUGGUCCUGGAUAUAAACUACCACCCCUGUCCUCUAAUCGACCAGAGGAGGUGAAUCCUGGGGCAAGAGGGUUCCAUGUGUGAGUGAGCUUCCACAGUUGAUUCCCUUAACUUAUUCAACUCAAG